CCUGGAUGAGCCAGAGUGGCGGCCAAGGGGAGACGGAGCGGCCCUUCACAGCCAGGGGAGCACGGAGGGCCACCACCAUGCACCCGGCAGCUGACUCAUCGGCCCGGUGGGCUUGCUACCUCCAGCACAGGUGGACUUUGCUUCCACACCGGAGACGAUAGGCAGUGUGGAUGAUGUGUCCGGGAAGGGGACUUCCUCACCCAGGGCUGUGGCUUCUUGCUGUGCAGACCCCGCCAUCAGGCCUGAAGAUGCGUGUCACCCUCUUGGGGACCCUGAGUCCUGGGGGAGUGUCAUUUCCAGGGAUCAGUGGGCCACCCCUUCCCUGGCAUGGUGUCACUGGCAUUUCAGGUGGAUGAGUCACUGUGGUGGGUCUGUCCAGGGCACUGUAACCUGCUUCCUGGCCUCCACCCACUGGAUGCUGGGAGCUUGCUCCUGCAGCUGUUGCAGCCAGCACUGCUUCCAGACACCACAAGGGCCCUGGGCAUGGAAAUACCCCGGCUGAACCCCCUGGUUGGACGUUUGGCCCAUCCAUCCCAGGCCCCUGGCACAGUAAAGGACAAGAGCCUGGUCGGAUUCAGAGGGACAGAGACCCCAAGCAUCGAGAGGCGCGGCUCCGUGCUGGAGGGCCACCUUCGAGUGCCGCAGCCCCCUUGUCCACGUGGCUCAGGCUCCACUGCGGUCCGCUUCUGCCCGAGCUCUCUUCUCUGUGGCCCCACUGUGACCACAGAAGGACCUGAUACCUGAGCUCUUGACGGCCGCAUGGCGGCUGCUGCUGGCCAGUCCAGCCUGUCCCUCAGAGUGACGAGCACUGAGAUGGGCUCUCUCUGGAAGUCACUGCGCACUCAGGCCUUUUGAUCACAGCAGACUGGUCCUCGCACCCAGGAUGUGACAGAGAGGAGCUCAGCGUGGCCAGAGCCUCUCCCUCUCCUCUGGUGCGGGGGUCUUCUGUCCUGGGGCCUGGAUUUGCUGCCUUUCCCACUCAGCUUCUGCCAGCACCGUCCUGUGACCCACACGCUUCUGUGACCAGGACAAGACACAAGGACCUGGCCAGUGCGCACGGGGUCCCUGCACACCUGGAAACACCGGGCCCUACACAGAGGUGGCCCUGGCCCUGCUACAAGCCGCCCUCAGGUCCCAGUGGCUCAGGGGGAGCCACACUGGGCACAGAUGAUGCCUUUGAGCAGAAGCCGAGACUCCUCUGUCCGGUGUGGCCUCGUCCCACUCCCAGGAGCAGGGGACCAGGCCCGGCUGAGUGGCUGCCACGUGCAAGUGCCCAUCCUUGGUCACAGCUGAGUCACGGGCCUCCAGAGUCCUCCUGGCCAGACCUCCUCAAGUCCACACUGGCCUGCUGCAUGCACAUGGCAGCUCUGCCCCUCGCAGAGGCCGGAUGGCCACUCCUGCAUCAAAUAGCCCAGCUGGCCGCAGCAGAAGGAAGAGGCCUGCGUGGGGAGUGUAGCAUCCUUCCCUGCAGAACACCACUGGGCCCCACCACUGUCCCCUCCAGCAGAGGACGCAUGAGGACAAGCCUGGAACCAAGUUCCCUCCCUCCCAUGGCAGCUCACAGAUGGGGAAGAUCCAGGCCCCUCUCUCGGUCCACGUGCUUCACACCCUGCAGCCUGCUGGAGCACGGACCAACGUGCCCAGCUUUGGAGCUGGCAGGGUCCACACAUCAGUGCUGCUCUCACCAGCUAAAGACAUCCCGCUUCUUGGGAGAGCAGGGAGCUGAGGCUGCAGGGCCGUGGGGGUCCUGAGGCUGCAGGGUGGGCCACCUCGGAGCUCUGCAAGGACCCAAGUCCACCCUGCACCUCCUGUGUGACGCAAGACAGAAGACUUGUCCUAACCACGCCGUGCACUCAUGUCUUCACAUGAGCCUGCCUUGACCUCGUCCCUCACAGCCCAGUUUUAGCAAGAACCUGUGCUCCGAGAGGACCCCACCCCGGUACCUGACUGCAUUCCUCAGCUGGAUCAGUUCCUCCCCUCUCUGACGCCAGGUCUUUGGCCAGUGUUUCUUCUCUGCUCUUUUCCUUCUCCUCACCCCUCCCUGCCUCUUGCAUUCAGAGUGGAGCCCAGUCCUGGCCUGAGGUUUCUGACCCACUGCAAUUGCUCCUGACCAAAAUCGGCUUUCAGGCAUUUAACUACUGCACAGGCCCUGUGAGGUGGUCCUUGUGGGAGGUGACAUCUGGGGCCCUGAACACCCAUUCUGGGGGGACACUGAGUGGGCCACCGAGUGAGGGCACAGGGCAGAUGGGUGUGGAAUGGGCUUUCUGGAGGCUCAGGAGCUUGACGCUCAGUGCUGACCCGGAUGCUGGCCACAGGGGGCCUCAGGCAGAGCAGGACAUGUGGUGGCUACCUUCCGCCAGAUGGGGUCCUGAGCAGGAGAGACAUCUUAUCUGCAGUUUCAGGGGCUGGGGGCUGACGUCUGGGGUCUGUGAUGGGGACCCGAGGCCUCUGUGCCUCAUUUCUGCAGCUGCACAAUGGGACACUGCGGAGCAAAUGCCUUCGGGACAGGGACACAAGGGGGGGGGGCGGCAUCACAGGGAAGCCGUCCCAGCCUCGGGCGUUCCUCAGGGCUGGCUCUUCCGGCCCAGGCUCUCUGAGUGCUUCCUGGCUGCUCUGUUACCUGCCUGGGGAGGCCCAUAGCAGGAAAAUCAAACGCCAGACUUCAGGCAUCUGAAGUGCUAAUGAGGCCACGUGUGUCCCAGCCUGGGGGCUAAUUCCCAAACAGCCAGAUCAAAACUCCUGCAAAAGCCUGGUUUGAUACAUUUUCCAAGACACG
Molecule: long non-coding RNA, 2776 nt
Filed under: Chinchilla lanigera (long-tailed chinchilla)
Lineage: Eukaryota; Metazoa; Chordata; Mammalia; Rodentia; Chinchillidae
Description: lncRNA (ENSCLAG00000028863.1)
Source: RNAcentral